Molecule: long non-coding RNA, 2139 nt
Organism: Gasterosteus aculeatus aculeatus (three-spined stickleback)
Lineage: Eukaryota; Metazoa; Chordata; Actinopteri; Perciformes; Gasterosteidae
Source: Ensembl
UCGGGUUGCGUAUUGAGUUGGGUAUCGGGUUGCGUAUCGGGUUGCGUAUCGGGUUGGGUAUCGGGUUGCGUAUCGAGUUGCGUAUCGGGUUGGGUAUCGGGUUGCGUAUCGAGUUGCGUAUCGAGUUGCGUAUCGGGUUGCGUAUUGAGUUGGGUAUCGGGUUGCGUAUCGAGUUGCGUAUCGGGUUGGGUAUUGGGUUGCGUGUCGGGUUGCGUGUCGGGCUGCGUGUCGGGCUGCGUGACGGUUGCGUAUCGUCACCGGACCUUCGCGGUGGUCUCCUUCGUCUUCGAUGCAGUGCUUAGUAUUCAGUUAUGCUUUUAGGUCAUGUUGUCUUGUUACCGCACUGCUGUGUCUAAUGAGCCCUUCCUGUUGUUGUUGUUGAUGAUGUGUGUGUGUGUGUUUGUACUGUAUGUGUGUCUGUUUCCCCACAGUCGAGCUCCACAUAAAUAACCCAAUAGUCCCGAUCACAUUACUGCCUGAAAGAUGGUUAGACUGACAGAAAGAGAGAGACGGGGGGGGGGGACCAUUGGUAAAGGCCCACUUUGUGUGGACACAGCGUUUUGUUUCACACAACAAUUCUUUGAGGGGAACCAACCCCCCCCCCCCUGCACAUUUCAAUCUGCACACAGCUACAUACGGAGGACGGAUGGAUCAAACAGCCCGCAAACGAGGUCUUGUGUGUAUUAGGAAGCGGGUGGGAGUGCGUGCAUGGAUGCACUCAUGUGUAGGGAUGCACAUCUCUAUGUGUGUGUGUGUGUGUGUGUGUGUGAGAGAGAGCGACAGCGUCUUAUUAUGAAAGAGUAAUGCAGAUGGAUGAAUAAAUAAAAGAUCUGGGAAACCCAUCAGCAUCGAGCACUCGGUUGUCAUGGCAAUGCGAGCAGCACAGCACAGUAUGUGCGUGUGUUUAAUGUGUUGCGAGUGAGAGAGAUCGACAUCGCACAACUGCAGUGUUUAGGUAUGUAAACAAGAGAUUCGCACUGAUGAAGAAGCGUACGGAACGCGGUUUGUUUCAGUUCGUCCUGCUCGGCCCAUGAACACACUCGUGCGUGAAGUUGCUUUUAAAUAGAGUCAACGUGACGUCUUGUAGGUGCGUCUUUGCCUGUUUGCAGCCCGUCUCUGCGUGUGAGUACGGUGACCGAAGCUUAAUUAAUGUUGGAAAAAAAAGUGCAUGAAAGUGCACGUGGAAAGUUUCAUGAAAGCUGCUUCAAACAGUGGCAAUGCGAUGUAUGCUGCUCUGUGAGAGAGAGAGAGGACUGGAAGAGGCUCUUACUAGAAACUCUACCUGGUUACUAGGCAACAGAAUGGCACUGCUGCACAUCGGAGCAUGGGGGGGGCAAUCUGUGUGUGAGGGUCCUCGUUCAACUGCUGAGUCAAUAACUAUAUUAUUUAUUGUUUAUAUUAUUUAUUAUUUAUGUGUGUGCGAGAGCCUACCAAUGUUCCUGCAGCAGCUCAGAAGGCGGAGUCAACCUGGCGGUCCCGCUGGACGCCGGGCGGCCGCUCACGCUCAUUUUUUUGCGGGUGACCUCGCGAACAGAGCGCACAGCGAGCGCCGCCGCCGCCGCCGCGGCUCAACCCCCGGGUUCUUCUUCCCUCUGCUUCCGUCUCGCUCGCUCUCUCUCGGCCCGCGUCGGAAUCGGCGGGAAUUACGUAAGCGGGGGGCCCGAGAGACGCUUUUUUUGUUAGAGCUUUUAUUACGACGACUGCAUCCGUUUAGUUUUCCUCGGCCUCAGCUUUAGCUCACAAUGAGUGAGGAAAUCAGGUCCAAGUACGGCCGACAGGUCCCACAUCAAAAAAACCCCAAACAAUCCUUGUGAACGACCCGCUGACCUCCGGACCAAAGCUGGUUCAGUGUGUGUGAACUCAUUAAGGGCACCCACUCUCACAGGCAGCGGGUCAAUGCAGACGGAUCCAUCCUCCUCACAUCGAAAAGCAUUUUUCAUUUGCUGCUGUGUGUGUGUGUGUGUGUGUGUGACAGACUGCUGUUUAAUGUCCAUUAGGCUGUAAUGAAGGAACGCCGCUCUCACCGGUCCCCUCGCUGCUUUCUAAUGGGCCUCUAUUAUCACGGUUCAAAGCGCACACACACACACACACACUCAUCUCUUUGAGAUGAAAGGGCAUCAUGAAGCAGGUGACCUAGCU